Molecule: ribosomal RNA, 422 nt
Filed under: uncultured soil bacterium
Lineage: Bacteria
Description: bacterial SSU rRNA
Rfam family: Bacterial small subunit ribosomal RNA
Source: RNAcentral
AGAUUGAACGCUGGCGGCAUGCCUAACACAUGCAAGUCGAACGGGAGUAGCAAUACUCUAGUGGCGGACGGGUGAGGAAUACGUAGGAAUUUGCCCUUAAGUGGGGGAUAACCCGGGGAAACCCGGAUUAAUACCGCAUGACCUCGAAAGAGCAAAGUGGGGGAUCGCAAGACCUCACGCUUUUGGAGAAGCCUACGUCGGAUUAGCUAGUUGGUGAGGUAAUGGCUCACCAAGGCGACGAUCCGUAACUGGUCUGAGAGGAUGAUCAGUCACACCGGAACUGAGACACGGUCCGGACUCCGUACGGGAGGCAGCGAGGUGGGGAAUAGUUGGACAAGUGGGCGCAACGCCUGAUCCAGCAAGUCGCCGCGUGUGCGAAGGAACGGUCCGUUCGGUUAGUAAAGCUAACGUUUAAGUUAGGG